UACGGGGGGGGCAAGCGUUGUUCGGAAUUACUGGGCGUAAAGGGUGCGUAGGCGGGUUGGUAAGUCCGUGGUGAAAUCUCCGAGCUUAACUCGGAAACUGCCGUGGAUACUAUCAAUCUUGAAUAUCGUGGAGGUAAGCGGAAUAUGUCAUGUAGCGGUGAAAUGCUUAGAUAUGACAUAGAACACCAAUUGCGUAGGCAGCUUACUACACGAUCAUUGACGCUGAGGCACGAAAGCGUGGGGAGCAAACAGG
Molecule: ribosomal RNA, 253 nt
Filed under: uncultured bacterium
Lineage: Bacteria
Description: partial 16S ribosomal RNA
Rfam family: Bacterial small subunit ribosomal RNA
Source: RNAcentral